RNAcentral lists this long non-coding RNA (780 nucleotides) under Heterocephalus glaber (naked mole-rat). RNAcentral's name for it is "lncRNA (ENSHGLG00000041718.1)". Lineage: Eukaryota; Metazoa; Chordata; Mammalia; Rodentia; Bathyergidae. The record is from RNAcentral.
ACACAAGAAAGCCCUGGCUGUGUGACAGGCUCCUCAGGAGGCACAGCGUCAGCCAGCACCAGAUCUUGGAAAUCCGAGCUUCCACAACUUACUGGAAUGAAGUCUAGGUGUGGUGGCACUGCCCUGUAAUCCCAGCAUUGGGGAGGCUGAGACAAGGAUGGCUGUGAGUUUGAAGCCAGCCUGGACUUCAAAAUGAGUUCAAGGGCAGGCUGGACUACAUAGCAAGAACCUGUCUCAAAAGAAAAAAAAAAAGAUGGAAUGAAGGGAGCUGCAAGCUUCAAACUACUGCUGACUUCUAAUUAGGUUUGGCUGCAGAAGGCAUUGGUAUUUAUGGGGCGUCUGAGACCUUAUCUCAGACAGUUCAUGGUCUCCAACCUGGAUCCGGCUGUCUCCACAGCAGAUGCAGCAAUUGAUUCAAGGUCCUUCAGAGGUUCCAGCAAAUGUAGGACAGAGCUCUCCCUCGGUUCUAGUCCUAUUUCUGGGUGUCCCUUCGAAGUCUCUGGACCUCUUUCCACCAAGAGUCCUCGGACCAACUGUGCAGCAGCUUCACUGGUCCAAUACCUACUGUGUGAAGUGUCCGUGAGGAUCCAAGCCCUUCCUCAUGAUGCUCCCUUGGUGGAGUUACCACCUCCCUGGCUGAGAUUUGGAGCUCUGAUCACAACUGCCCCAAUUUUGCAUUCUUGCAGCCUGAGAGAGAGCAGCUGCUUGCUGUGUUAAUAACGUUGGUAUUAUUUCACCGUCCCCAUUGCUCUCCCUGCCUUUCUUGCAUUUUAAUGAACA